This 226-nucleotide long non-coding RNA is filed under the name Hordeum vulgare. Its description in RNAcentral is "long non-coding RNA (HVUL_LNC010323)". Lineage: Eukaryota; Viridiplantae; Streptophyta; Magnoliopsida; Poales; Poaceae. The record is from RNAcentral.
GGGGCUCUUGGCUAUUUUCAUUUUGAGCUUACUGUCAAGAUUAUCAUAAAAUAUUUUUGUUACCUAAUCAAGAUAUGUUGCCAAAUGCCAAAAAGGGAGAGAUUGAAAGUACAUUUUAUGCCUUUAAUUGGUUUUUGUUGUUUAUGACAACACAACAAAUGUCCAACUCCAUGCAUGAGUCUAAAAACAGUGUUGCCAUAUCAUGAAAGGAUGAUGGAUGUCUAGA